UAGCGUUGCUCGGAAUGACUGGGCGUAAAGCGAGCGCAGGCGGUUUUUUAAGUCUGAUGUGAAAGCCUUCGGCUCAACCGAAGAAGUGCAUCGGAAACUGGGAAACUUGAGUGCAGAAGAGGACAGUGGAACUCCAUGUGUAGCGGUGAAAUGCGUAGAUAUAUGGAAGAACACCAGUGGCGAAGGCGGCUGUCUGGUCUGUAACUGACGCUGAGGCUCGAAAGUAUGGGUAGC
Molecule: ribosomal RNA, 234 nt
Filed under: uncultured bacterium
Lineage: Bacteria
Description: partial 16S ribosomal RNA
Rfam family: Bacterial small subunit ribosomal RNA
Source: RNAcentral